CUUCCGGUUAUUUCCAACGGAAACGGCCAAUAUGUAGCUUGAGAAUGGAAAUACACUUAUUUCCAUUCUCAAGGCCUGUCUAUCAUGGCCCGGAGUACACCCUGGCGGUAUCCAUGAGUAGCCGGACGAGCCUCUUCCCGUCGGUGGCGAGGUGCCCCAGCACACGUUCGCGAUAUGUGAACUCGCACGUGUACUGGCGCAAGCUUUCGUCAUUCCUUGUUGACUUGAUGAUGUCCUGUUGGGACAUAUGUUUGUUAUUGCCAGAGCCGAUACCUGAGUAUGCACCGAACAAGCAAAACAGAUUGAGUAACACAUAAUUCAGUCUGCGAUUCCUAAUUUCUAUAUCAGUGGUUCUCAACCGCCGUUCCG
This 369-nucleotide long non-coding RNA is filed under the name Androctonus crassicauda. Lineage: Eukaryota; Metazoa; Arthropoda; Arachnida; Scorpiones; Buthidae. The record is from RNAcentral.